GACGAACGCUGGCGGCGUGCCUAAUACAUGCAAGUCGAACGCACAGUUUAUACCGUAGCUUGCUACACCAUACACUGUGAGUUGCGAACGGGUGAGUAACGCGUAGGUAACCUGCCUGGUAGCGGGGGAUAACUAUUGGAAACGAUAGCUAAUACCGCAUAAUAUUAAUUAUUGCAUGAUAAUUGAUUGAAAGAUGCAAUUGCAUCACUACCAGAUGGACCUGCGUUGUAUUAGCUAGUAGGUGAGGUAACGGCUCACCUAGGCGACGAUACAUAGCCGACCUGAGAGGGUGAUCGGCCACACUGGGACUGAGACACGGCCCAGACUCCUACGGGAGGCAGCAGUAGGGAAUCUUCGGCAAUGGACGAAAGUCUGACCGAGCAACGCCGCGUGAGUGAAGAAGGUUUUCGGAUCGUAAAGCUCUGUUGUAAGAGAAGAACGGGUGUGAGAGUGGAAAGUUCACACUGUGACGGUAUCUUACCAGAAAGGGACGGCUAACUACGUG
RNAcentral lists this ribosomal RNA (505 nucleotides) under uncultured bacterium. Its description in RNAcentral is "partial 16S ribosomal RNA". It matches the Rfam family "Bacterial small subunit ribosomal RNA", at positions 28 to 507 of the family's 1533-position model. The record is from RNAcentral.